GCGGAGCAGACAUAAGCCGCCGUCUGAUGUGAGAAGGCGCUGUGAAAUGCCUUUUUCUGUUCUUCCUACGCGAGGAGGACACUAACCGAUUGUACUUCAUCUUCGUAGAUCCUGCAAUGCAGAUUUAUUAUCGUGAGAAUCUCGAUUUUCACUGAGAUAUGAACUCGGUAUAUCAAUCGACGAGGGUAUACAGAAUGAAACGUGUGUUAGGAAAUGACAGGUUAUGCAUGAUGCGGACUGCGAUACAAGUCAGAUGCCACGCGAUUAACAUUCUCUUCACUCACCGACGAUGGUUCAAUGCCGCGGCGUUAACCGGAAAGAAAAUACGAGAAACAUUUCACGAAGUGUCUAAUGGCCGCCUUUCAAUGCUUCCAAUGAACCAAUGGAUAUUCGAAGAAGAGAACGCGAAGCGUAAACGAGCUUGAUUCGUUGGAUGUGAGAGAACGGACCAAUCAGUGAUCAUCGCAUGGAUUGAAAAGAUCCUAAAGAUUUUCAUAUAAACAGGAAUCGCUGCAAACGCGUGUGAAGCAUGGUCCAACGAUGUUUUACAACAAUAUUAUGGACUAACCUUGUGGCUUAACACUUUGUACACAGCUUUGAAUCCGAAACUUGUGGAAUCUCUUUUUAACUUUUCAUUAGGAUUUUUCUAUAGGAUCACAUAUAUGUAUAUUAUUCAAGUAAGAGGACUGUAAUAAAAAAAAUUGAUUGUAUAUGCUAUUAAACAAUCAUAGUUAUGGGACCCAUCAAGGAAACCGCUCAUGACACCUUAUUUUGCUAAUUCUAAACCGUAAACACACUUACCCUGUUAUUUCCAUAUUUUUACCAUUUAAGCUUAUAAUGAAGCACAAUAUAAUUUAUGAUAUGUGUGUGUGAUUAAAUCGAAAUACAUGGAC
This is a long non-coding RNA of Formica exsecta, 893 nucleotides long. RefSeq lists it as uncharacterized. NCBI's taxonomy places the organism in Eukaryota, Metazoa, Arthropoda, Insecta, Hymenoptera, Formicidae. The transcript has 3 exons. The record is from RefSeq and is a predicted model, not a curated record.